UUCUUAUCCAGAGAGGUGGAGGGACUGGCCCAAGGAAGCCUCGGCAACAGACUUAUUUGAUUAAGUACUGUGCCAAUUCCAGUAGCGUAAUUGCUAGAAGAUGAGAA
This 107-nucleotide non-coding RNA is filed under the name Oceanobacillus iheyensis. RNAcentral describes it as "SAM-I sequence". It matches the Rfam family "SAM riboswitch aptamer (S box leader)". Rfam says of the family: The SAM riboswitch is found upstream of a number of genes which code for proteins involved in methionine or cysteine biosynthesis in Gram-positive bacteria. The SAM riboswitch acts at the level of transcription termination control. Lineage: Bacteria; Bacillati; Bacillota; Bacilli; Caryophanales; Bacillaceae. The record is from RNAcentral. RNAcentral also lists the same sequence under 1 other name.